AUGGCCAAGUCCAAGAACCACACCACACACAACCAGUCCCAAAAAUGGUACAGAAAUGACAUCAAGAAACUGUGAUAACAAAGAUACAAACCUCUUAAUGGGGUAGACCCCAAGUUCCUGAGGAACAUGUGCUUUGCCAAGAAGCACAACAAGAAGGGCGUGAAUAAGAAGCGGGCCAACAGUACCAAUGCCAUGUGUCUGUAUGCCAAGUCUAUCAAAGUCCUCAAAAAGGCCAAGGAGGUUAAGUCCCAAAUCCCAAAGCACAUCAUCCAGAAGCUCAAUUGACUUGCCUACAUUGCCUACCCCAAGCUCGGGAAGCGUGCUCCUGCCUGCAUUGCCAAGGGUCUUACCUCUGCCCACCCAAGACCAAGGCCAAGUCUCAAAUCAAGGCCCUGCAGCCCCAGCUUUGGCUGCAGCUCCAGCUGCAUUUCCAGCUCUAGCU
Molecule: long non-coding RNA, 442 nt
Filed under: Homo sapiens (human)
Lineage: Eukaryota; Metazoa; Chordata; Mammalia; Primates; Hominidae
Description: non-protein coding lnc-CSTF3-3:1
Source: RNAcentral